Molecule: RNA transcript, 1934 nt
Organism: Vollenhovia emeryi
Lineage: Eukaryota; Metazoa; Arthropoda; Insecta; Hymenoptera; Formicidae
Exons: 6
Source: RefSeq, a predicted model, not a curated record
GAACCGAGAAUCAUUGUAGCGGAGGCUUUAGUUGCAAAGCGACCGCCAAUCUGGAGUUCGAUUUUUGAAUGGUUCUUAGCCAAUCAACUUGUAACUUUUCUGUAAGAGCAGAAUUUUUGCAUACGUUUCUCUUUCGAAUGAUUCGAUAUCAAGCUCCUGAAUUAGUGCAGCCAGACCUAACACAAUUACUUCUUUGUUCGUCAAAAGUAAUUGAUAAGGUCAGCGUUUUACAAUUAUUUCCAGGUAAUUCGACGAUCUGAAAAUUUAUCCACGUAUUCAGACCUUUGCCUUCACAUGUCCGUGGUGAAUGGUGGGAAUUCACUAUUUUCUUUGUCCUGCUUGAAAGGACCUUAUCUUAUUAUCACGUUUAUCUGUAUACAGAUCUGUAUACAGAUAAACGUGAUAAUAAGAUAAGGUCCUUUCAAGCAGGACAAAGAAAAUAGUGAAUUCCCACCAUUCACCAACAUGGGAUAAAUAUAUUUAUCGCAGUGAGGAGAACGUUUGACAGUUGGACGUUAUUAAAUUGCGUAUAAUAUUUAUUAUUAUAAGUGAGAUAUUUGUUUUCUCUCUCUCUCUCUAAAAAAAAUAAUAUAAAAUCUCUUUUACGCACUUAAUUGGAGUAAUUAGUAAAAAAAUGGGAGGUAAUGUCUUUAGUAAACCGCUGAAAUCUGGUGAACAAACAAACUCGCCUAACAAAUCUACGGAUACAGUAAAAGUACCGCCUAAAUUCGCUACGAAGGAUGAUUUUAUCGCAACCUGGUUUUCAUGGAAGAAAAAAUUCUUUGUGUACUUGAAGAGUAUUGACGAAGCUAGAGGCGAGAGACAAAUGUUGGGUAUCAUGCUUCUGAACCAUAUGGGUCCCAUUGGCCAAGAAAUCCAUGGAACGGUUGUUUUCUACGAUACCAAACCGAUGGAGGAUUUAAACGUGUUAAUUAAAAAAUUUGAUAUGUACUGCAUAUAUGGGGAUAAAAAAAGAGACCGCGAAGACAUCGACAAAUAUACAAACGAUUUGAAAUCCAUCGCUAUCGCAAAUAUGAAUUGCGUUGACCCCGCGUUGGUUGUGAAGGAAAAAAUUAUACAAGAUAUAUGUGCUCAACGUUUCACGGGAAUAGUCACGUUUCUCCCAGGAUUAUAUGGAGGAAAACUGAUACCGUACUUGCGUUCGUUGGAGCUCGACGGUAUUAUUCUAUUCUGGAAACAGUGCGAAAUGGCGCAAAAUAUGAAUUAGGAACCCCCGAGGCAGUCGAACAUACCGUUAUUGUAAUAAACCGAAUCAUUUGGAAGAACGAUGCGCGAGCAGGCGUAAUAAUGAUAUAUGUAUACUGCAUUUUAAGGGCGAAAAUAAAUUGGAAAUAAUCGCUCGACAUAUUUUCACUCGUUAUUUAUUAGAUUAAAAAUGUACAUUACGCUUGAUCACCAGUCGGCAUGGACUUUAUGAUGUCGGAAUUGCCAGGAUCUGUGAUCGAGAGCGUACAGACACGGAAGUAUUUACCGCAGGCUGUACCCAAUUCGAUAUUGUUCCCCGUGUAAUGGUGCACGCCAGUUUUCGCCAACAUCGCGUAGUACUCGAUCUCCGAUUUCCUGUUAAAUCCGGACGAAGCACGUUUAAAACGGCACGUUAGCGAGAUACAGUUCAGUUCCCCGUGCACUUACAAGCAGGGGUAGGAGACUACUCCAUAGUACUCCUAUUCAAUUUAUGAUAUGCAAAUUGACAAUCGUAUCAAUAUUACCACUCUAUCAGUGCAAUUUCAAUGUAAACUAUUAAUUUAAUUGGACACUCUAUUAGUUAUCUGGUACAAAUACAUUUGCGUAUUGGAAGUCACUAAUAAAUUUAGCAAAUCCAUCGAUUUAAGAGAAACUGCAUUCUUGUUAAACAUGUCAAUUUGCUGGUUGCAAAAGGAGUGCUACUUCUCAGUCUCACCUUAGCGGCGGUG